Drosophila navojoa is the source of this 2643-nucleotide long non-coding RNA. Lineage: Eukaryota; Metazoa; Arthropoda; Insecta; Diptera; Drosophilidae. The record is from RefSeq and is a predicted model, not a curated record.
GAGCGAGAGCGACAGUGAGAGCGAGAGACAGCGAACUCAUACCGCAGCGUGCCAGCAACAUUGCCAAAUAGACCGAGCCGACGACAGCCAACCCGAACUCGCACCCGAGCACAAGCGAGCAACAUACACUCCCCACACACUCAUACACUAGCACACACACACAGUUCUCAUGCUCGGCCGGGCUUCUUCUUGCUCUUUAAGAAACAACAAACAUUUUUACUAGGUCUGCAUGAGAUUUAGCAGCAUGCUCUCCACACAGCACGAUUAGAUUUUCAAUGAAAACUCAAUAGAAAUUAUGUUAGAAGUCUCGCAACAGGUGCGACAGAGAUGAAUAUAUCGUGUAGACAAACGUGUGUAGAGCAUGAGUGCGCCAGUGUUUGUGUGUGUGUCUGCUUGUUUCUUUCUGUUUAUGGGAUUAGAGAUGUUUCUGCUGUGGCUGGGGCCUGGGCAGCAUUCGUUUGAUGUGCUGCUGCUUGUGCUCCAUGCUCUGUGCUCCUCAUUGUCGAACGGAUAAUCCAAUUUGCGCACUCAAUUGAAAGCACUUCCCCGUUUCGAGUAUAAGAAACACACACAAUUACGCUCUGGCUCUCUAAUGGGCCGCUUCUCAUGCGAUUCGACACCACUUAGCGGUCGUUUCCCGCUUACAUUGUUUGUGCGUCGUAGAGUUUGUGAGUGUGGGAGAGAGGCAGGGAGAAUCGGGCGACAGGCGACGACGACGACGACUUGUUGCAUGUAAUAAUAAUAAUAACGAACGAAACGGUAUCUCGUAGCUGUUUAGUGGAUGAUUAAACUGAAUUUAAUCGUUUGCGAACAGGCGCACAGCAUUUGCCUGUAUGCGGCGGCGCUAUUUACGGGCGGGUUGCAGUUUCUUUUUCGAAAUUAAAACGAUUUCAAAUUGCCCACUCAGAAGCGUCGCACAGCCGACACAGUCAGGCACAGCUGUUAUCUCACUCGCACCACUGCAUCGACGCACAGCGACGGCGAGCUGUUGCUCGUUGCCAGUUGCCAAUUUGCUGCGGUGGUAGUUGGCUGCGUUGAUUGGACUGUUGUUCCAGGGGCGGGUAGGAGAGUGUCCAUGCACGGUCAUCAAAUGGUUGUUCACUUCAAAUAACUCGUCCGAAAUGCUAUAUAUCGUAGAAGUUAUACGCUUGUCUGCGCAUGCCUGUUCGCAACAGGGCAUUCAUGCUGUGUUAUUUGCAGCUCUCUCGCUUGCGCUCGUCACUUUCACAAUCGAGCAACUCACUUUAGCCUAUUACACUCGCCCGACUCUCACUCUACCGCACACUCUCUCUCUCUCACUCACUGUCUCGCUCUAUCUCUCCGCAACACAACAAAUUUGUGGCCCAUUAAUCGUCUUGCUAUUAUUUUGGCAAUCCUAAUAUGUAAUGCCAAUUCAUGGGGUGGGCGCCUGUUAACUAGCAGGCAACGAGCGCGCGAAAAUUAACAUGAUGAAAAUCGAUAGGCUGCCAAAUGGCAUCGCUCGCUGCGCCCAGUUCUGUGACUCUGUUAGCAUUUGAACGUUAAAAAUUCGAUUUUAUAGAAUGCAGCAACGCCCACAAAGGCCGCAGACGUAGACGCACGCAGACGACGCGUCGUUGUUCGAUGGCGUUUCAACAGCGUUGAACGCGUUCAGCUGCUAAUUGUACAGAGUGAGAGAGAGACCUGCCCCGCCGCCUGGCCCCACCCAGCCCGCUUGAGUUUUAGUAAUGGUAGGUAACAGCGGCGUCGAGUUCGAAUGUCUAUGUAGCUAACAGACCAGCAGCUACACAUUCUGCGCGCCUCUUAGUUAUUAUGUCAGAUCUGCAAUGCGCGACUAUAAAAUACGUAGUCGGCCUCUGAGAAUUUAUUGACUCGCCGCCCCCGGCACCGGGUGUGAGUUAUAAAAUUGAUGGCAUAAACUGUCAUGAAUUUAUAAAUAUGAGCGCGAGGGCCACACUGUUUGCAUGCGGUCCCGGACAUUUGCCAGCUGGCCAUUGCUGGGCGCCUGCUGAUAUUUUUCGCUUGUAUGUUGGUAACAUUGUCAUUUUGAGUGCUCGAGCCUCGGUGUCUCUCGCCGCAAGUGCUGCUGCUGUGACUCUGGCAACGCCGCUGUUGCCCAACCGCUCGCACCUGCAGCGCGCAUGUUAAGGCUGCUUGCUGGCUGCCUCUGUGUAUGUAAACACAACAUGUUGUUGACGCGCGCCACAUGCCGGCCAUUUUUGUUGUGUAUUGUGUGUGCACUCUGAACGAACGAACAUACAUAUUAUUUGUUGGAGGCAACCUCACAACCUCAACAUUCUUGCGGUCUCGUGGCAGCGCUGUCGGGCUACCAGAUUCGAUCGCUGGACGCCGCGCCACAACAUAUUCGCCCUGGCGCGCGCUCUGGCAACCCUGCUGCCGUCGCUCUGCCCGCUAUGCGCUUCACUCGGCCCGCCAAAAUACCGAAAGCAUUCCAAGCAUAACAAUGCCGUCUGCUUUACGCUGCUAGCCUGUUCGGGCAAGUAAGUGAAAUUUCAUGCAAAACCAUUCUUCGGAAAUUUCAAAUUCCCCACAUACUUUUGUGUCGCGCUGUGUACACAUACUGAUACAUAUAAAUAUGUACAUAUAUAUAUUUUAUUUUUUUUUUUUGGGACUGCGUAAUCGUGAUCAAGUUGUUUGAAUGGG